RNAcentral lists this ribosomal RNA (165 nucleotides) under uncultured bacterium. Its description in RNAcentral is "partial 16S rRNA". It matches the Rfam family "Bacterial small subunit ribosomal RNA", at positions 355 to 511 of the family's 1533-position model. The record is from RNAcentral.
UAGGGAAUCUUCCACAAUGGGCGGCAAGCCUGACGGAGCAACACCGCGUGAGUGAAGAAGGGUUUCGGCUCGUAAAGCUCUGUUGUUAAAGAAGAACACGUAUGAGAGUAACUGUUCAUACGUUGACGGUAUUUAACCAGAAAGUCACGGCUAACUACGUGCCAG